This 276-nucleotide signal recognition particle RNA is filed under the name Zalophus californianus (California sea lion). Its description in RNAcentral is "Metazoan signal recognition particle RNA (ENSZCAG00015022626.1)". It matches the Rfam family "Metazoan signal recognition particle RNA". Rfam says of the family: The signal recognition particle (SRP) is a universally conserved ribonucleoprotein. It is involved in the co-translational targeting of proteins to membranes. The eukaryotic SRP consists of a 300-nucleotide 7S RNA and six proteins: SRPs 72, 68, 54, 19, 14, and 9. The record is from RNAcentral. Lineage: Eukaryota; Metazoa; Chordata; Mammalia; Carnivora; Otariidae.
GCUGGGCAUAGUGGAAUACCUGUAGUCUCAGCUACUCAGGAGGCUGAGGCAGGAGGAUGACGUGAGCCCAGGAGUUCUGGGUUAUAGUGUUAUAUGCCAAUUGGGUGUCUGCACUAAGUUUGGCAUCAAUAUGGUGACUUACCAGAAGCCAGGAACCACUAGGUUGCCUAAGGAGCAAUAAACCGGCCCAGGAUGGAAACAAAGCAAGUCAAAACUCCCAUGUUGAUCACGUGAGAGUUAAAGUGACUAGUCCAGGCAUGAUAUAUUCAGAGCACU